CAAAUUUACUCACCAACAAAAGACAACAAAAAUGGUUCGAAGUUUGAUAUACUGACUUGGUGGAAAAGCAAUGCUGCAAGAUUUGAUAUUCUAUCACUUAUAGCAAGAGAUAUACUUGUUAUUCCCGUCUCUUCAGUUGCAAG
Molecule: long non-coding RNA, 143 nt
Organism: Papaver somniferum (opium poppy)
Lineage: Eukaryota; Viridiplantae; Streptophyta; Magnoliopsida; Ranunculales; Papaveraceae
Exons: 3
Source: RefSeq, a predicted model, not a curated record